RNAcentral lists this ribosomal RNA (253 nucleotides) under uncultured bacterium. RNAcentral's name for it is "partial 16S ribosomal RNA". It matches the Rfam family "Bacterial small subunit ribosomal RNA", at positions 524 to 776 of the family's 1533-position model. The record is from RNAcentral.
UACAGAGGGUGCGAGCGUUGUCCGGAAUCACUGGGCGUAAAGGGCGCGUAGGUGGCACGACAAGUCAAUGGUGAAAGCUCGACGCUCAACGUCGAGUCGGCCACUGAUACUGUUGAGCUGGAGCACUGUAGAGGCUAAUGGAAUUCCGGGUGUAGCGGUGGAAUGCGUAGAGAUCCGGAAGAACACCGGUGGCGAAGGCGGUUAGCUGGGCAGUUGCUGACACUGAGGCGCGACAGCGUGGGGAGCAAACAGG